RNAcentral lists this ribosomal RNA (321 nucleotides) under uncultured eukaryote. RNAcentral's name for it is "partial 18S ribosomal RNA". It matches the Rfam family "Eukaryotic small subunit ribosomal RNA", at positions 1470 to 1796 of the family's 1831-position model. The record is from RNAcentral.
CCCUUAGAUGUCCUGGGCCGCACGCGCGCUACACUGACAUGUUCAACAAGCCUCCUAGUUCGACAGGAUUUGGGAAAUCUUUGAACGCAUGUCGUGAUAGGGAUAGUUCAUUGCAAUUAUUGAUCUUGAACGAGGAAUUCCUAGUAAACGCGAGUCAUCAGCUCGCAUUGAUUACGUCCCUGCCCUUUGUACACACCGCCCGUCGCACCUACCGAUUGAAUGUUUCGGUGAAGAUUCCGGAUAGGACUUUUUUGAUUUAUUUCAAUUCUGUCUUAAAAGCUAUCUAAACCUCAACAUUUAGAGGAAGGUGAAGUCGUAACA